AUCGCUGCCGUUCGGCAGAGGAAAGUCCGGACUCCACAGGGCGGGGGUUUCGCCUGUAAUGGGCGGAGGGCACGGGGAAAGCCCGUGCGACGGAAAGCGCCACAGAGAACAGACAGCCCCGAAAGGGGUGAUGGUGAAAUGGCGGGGUAAGAGCCCACCGGCGCGCCAUAACCGGCGCGUGCGCGGCAAGCCCACCUCGGAGCAAGAUCAAAUAGGGAAUCGACGGGCGGCCCGUCCGGCGAGACGCCGCAAGGCGACUCUUCAGGUUCCGGGUUGAUUGCUCAGAUGAAUGAUCGGAUAGAACAGAAUCCGGCUUACUCGCUGUGU
Molecule: RNase P RNA, 327 nt
Filed under: bovine gut metagenome
Description: Bacterial RNase P class A
Rfam family: Bacterial RNase P class A
About the family: Ribonuclease P (RNase P) is a ubiquitous endoribonuclease, found in archaea, bacteria and eukarya as well as chloroplasts and mitochondria. Its best characterised activity is the generation of mature 5'-ends of tRNAs by cleaving the 5'-leader elements of precursor-tRNAs.
Source: RNAcentral